UGGUGGGUAGUUUGACUGGGGCGGUCUCCUCCCAAAGCGUAACGGAGGAGCACGAAGGUUAGCUAAUCCUGGUCGGACAUCAGGAGGUUAGUGCAAUGGCAUAAGCUAGCUUGACUGCGAGCGUGACGGCGCGAGCAGGUGCGAAAGCAGGUCAUAGUGAUCCGGUGGUUCUGAAUGGAAGGGCCAUCGCUCAACGGAUAAAAGGUACUCCGGGGAUAACAGGCUGAUACCGCCCAAGAGUUCAUAUCGACGGCGGUGUUUGGCACCUCGAUGUCGGCUCAUCACAUCCUGGGGCUGAAGUAGGUCCCAAGGGUAUGGCUGUUCGCCAUUUAAAGUGGUACGCGAGCUGGGUUUAGAACGUCGUGAGACAGUUCGGUCCCUAUCUGCCGUGGGCGCUGGAGAAUUGAGGGGGGCUGCUCCUAGUACGAGAGGACCGGAGUGGACGCAUCACUGGUGUUCGGGUUGUCAUGCCAAUGGCACUGCCCGGUAGCUAAAUGCGGAAGAGAUAAGUGCUGAAAGCAUCUAAGCACGAAACUUGCCCCGAGAUGAGUUCUC
Molecule: ribosomal RNA, 555 nt
Filed under: Klebsiella pneumoniae
Lineage: Bacteria; Pseudomonadati; Pseudomonadota; Gammaproteobacteria; Enterobacterales; Enterobacteriaceae
Also listed under: 1 other name
Description: partial 23S ribosomal RNA
Rfam family: Bacterial large subunit ribosomal RNA
Source: RNAcentral